Molecule: non-coding RNA, 1491 nt
Organism: Aegilops tauschii subsp. strangulata
Lineage: Eukaryota; Viridiplantae; Streptophyta; Magnoliopsida; Poales; Poaceae
Source: RefSeq, a predicted model, not a curated record
GUCCCCUUCCUCGGUGUGCUGAACCCUUCCUUGGUGUGCUGAACCCUUCCUGGAGCGGAGAAAGACCAGGAAACAGAAAAUGGUUUGGAGGUCUGACCAGCCUUGCCGCUUCUACAUGAUUGAUGGAUCUUGCAAGUAUGGUUCAGACUGUUGGUUCUCUCAUGGACUUGACUCAUUUGGGAGGAUAGAGAUCCAAAUCAGGGUACUUCUGCAUUUGAUGCAUCGUUUUCCUGUCCCAGUAGUGGAUUUGCCACGGAAUUGCUCUGAGUUGCACAUAAAGCUUCUGCAAGACGGACAGGAUGGGAAUCCUGAUCACCUGCUGAGUUUGCUCUGGCGUCUUCAUACGAUUUAUUUGUUUCAUGACAGCAUUCAAUGGUAUGUAAUCCUGUUGGAGGUUGCCCCACCAGCCUACAAUCCAAAUGUGAUGGAUUUCAAUAGUGAAACUCGGAUUUAUAUCACCUUCUCUGCUCAAAGUAGAGAAAUAUGCACUGAAUCAAAGGUUCGUUCGCAUUUCAGCCAUUUCGGGCCUGUCGUGUCUGUGACUAUUCCGCAUGGAAGGUCAUAUGGUUUUGUGAGAUUCUUGCUCCCUGGGACAGUGAGGCCGCUUUUAUCAAACUGGAAUCCUGAGGUCCCUCACUUCAUCUCCGGAGCAAGACUUCACGUGGACCGCUAUAUCCCCUAUUAUCUGUGGAACCCUGCUGAGAAUCAUGGACCGAAUGGCCUGGAUGGAGGGCCAUGACAUGUGCCAAAUGCCCUGGGUGGAGUGCCAGGACAAGAACCAGGUGCGCCAGAUGGAAACGCAGCACAACAAGAUAUGAACCCUGCUGGGAAUCAUGGGCUGAAUGGCCCGGGUGGAGGGCUAGGACAUGUGCCAAAUGCCCCGGUUGUAGUGCUAGAUGACGUGCUAGAUGUGCUGGAUGGAGACGCAGCAGAACAAGAUAUGAACCCUGGUGGGAAUGGAGUGGCAGGACAAGUGUCAGGUGUUCCGGAUGAAGUGCCAGGUGUGCCGGAUGGAGGCGCAGCACAACAAGAUAUGUGAGUUUUCCUAUUUAUGUCGGCAUUUUCAGCUACCAUCUAUCGACUUUUAGGAUGCUUAACCGAGCUGUUAUGCUACCUAGAAUGGCUGACCUUAUCAUGGUUGCGACAAACCAAAUUAUGCUGAAAUCGGAGCACUUCAGAUGUUGCGUAGUAUUUGACAUUCUGUAUUAUUUUGAGUAGCAAUGGCCAUUGUUAUUUCCCAUUCCGAUAUCAUUUUUGUUGCCUUUCCCCUGUUGGUUAGUCUAGUAGUAGUAGAUCUGAACCAUGUGAGCUCUUUUGCCGGGACGAGAUCGCUGCCGCUCUUCCAGAUGUCGACUGUUUCUGCAAGGAGGCCUGACCUGACCAGCCAGUGGCGCAAGUAUAAGUGGAUUGGAACGGCGUUCCUCAUUCAAAUGUUGUCGAUUCCCAUUCGAUACAUAUACACUCCAGACAUAGAUUGUUGAUUAGAUGAGU